AAGCUACGGGUUCACGCUUAUGCGUGAGCGGUAGAGGAGCGUCGUAAUCGGGCUGAAGUCGUACCGUAAGGAGCGGUGGACUGAUUACGAGUGAGAAUGUUGGCAUUAGUAGCGAGAUGUAGGCGAGAAUCCUACAGGCCGAAUAUCUAAGGUUUCCUGAGUAAAGUUUGUCUUCUCAGGGUUAGUCGGGACCUAAGGCGAGGCCGAAAGGCGUAGUCGAUGGACAAUUGGUUGAUAUUCCAAUACCACUAUAAUCGUUAUUAUCGAUGGUGUGACGGAGAAGGAUAGGAUGUGCUAGCUAUUGGAUGCUAGUCUAAGCGUUUAGGGAGUUGGGAUUGGCAAAUCCGUUCCAACAAUUCUGAGGCGUGAUGGGGAAGGUUCUACGGAACCGAAGUAUCUGAUUCCAUGCUUCCAAGAAAAGCAUCUAGAGAGAGAAGUAGUGCCCGUACCGCAAACCGACACAGGUAGAUGAGGAGAGAAUCCUAAGGCCGACGGAAGAAUUGCAGUUAAGGAACUAGGCAAAUUGACCCCGUAACUUCGGGAGAAGGGGUGCCUGAG
Molecule: ribosomal RNA, 558 nt
Filed under: Kiritimatiellia bacterium
Lineage: Bacteria; Pseudomonadati; Kiritimatiellota; Kiritimatiellia
Description: partial 23S ribosomal RNA
Rfam family: Bacterial large subunit ribosomal RNA
Source: RNAcentral